UGGGACAGCCCUGGAAACGGGGUCUAAUACCGGAUACUGACCCGCUUGGGCAUCCAAGCGGUUCGAAAGCUCCGGCGGUGCAGGAUGAGCCCGCGGCCUAUCAGCUUGUUGGUGAGGUAAUGGCUCACCAAGGCGACGACGGGUAGCCGGCCUGAGAGGGCGACCGGCCACACUGGGACUGAGACACGGCCCAUACUCCUACGGGAGGCAGCAGUGGGGAAUAUUGCACAAUGGGCGAAAGCCUGAUGCAGCGACGCCGCGUGAGGGAUGACGGCCUUCGGGUUGUAAACCUCUUUCAGCAGGGAAGAAGCGAAAGUGACGGUACCUGCAGAAGAAGCCGGCUAACUCGUGUCCAGGCAAGCCGCCGGUUAUAUCGUAUAAGGGCCGCCGAGAGCGUUAUCCGGAAAUUAUUGGGCGUAAAAGAGAGCCGUAAGGCAGCUAUGUCCACCGUCCGAGUUGUGGAAAGCCCGGGGCUUAAACCCCGGGUCCUGCAGUUCGAUCGGGCAGGUAGGAGUUCGUAGGAGAUCCGAAUUCCUGUGUACGGUGAAAAGCGCAGAUAUCAUGAGAGAACCCGGUGGCGAAGGCAGGAUCUCUGGGCCCGAUCUGACGCUGAGGAGCGAAAGCGUGGGGAGCGAACAGAUUUAGAUAUCCCUGGUAGUCCACGCCGUAAACGGUGGCACUAGGUGUGGGCGACAUUCCACGUCGUCCGUUCCGCAGCUACCAUUAAGUGCCCCUGCCUGGGGGAGUACGGCCGCAAGGCUAACUCAAAGAAUUGACGGGGCCCGCACAAGCGGCGGACUGUGGCUUAAUUCACGCACCGCGAGACCUCACCAAGGGCUUGACAUACACCGGAAAGCAUCAGAGUGGUCCCCCCUUGUGGCGGGACAGGUGUGCAUGGCUGUCUCAGCUCGGUCGGAGAUGUUGGGUUAGUCCGCAACGAGUCCAACCUCUUUGUCCCGGUGUUGCCAGCAGGCCUGGGGGGCUGGG
This 987-nucleotide ribosomal RNA is filed under the name Streptomyces variabilis. RNAcentral describes it as "bacterial SSU rRNA". It matches the Rfam family "Bacterial small subunit ribosomal RNA", at positions 139 to 1143 of the family's 1533-position model. Lineage: Bacteria; Bacillati; Actinomycetota; Actinomycetes; Kitasatosporales; Streptomycetaceae. The record is from RNAcentral.